RNAcentral lists this long non-coding RNA (901 nucleotides) under Homo sapiens (human). RNAcentral's name for it is "non-protein coding lnc-THOC3-2:11". The record is from RNAcentral. Lineage: Eukaryota; Metazoa; Chordata; Mammalia; Primates; Hominidae.
GCCGCUGUGUUGGAACUGCCAGCUAGACUGCUCACCAAAAUGGGAGGCAGCCUCUGCUGCUGUGGUGAAGGUGAAGACACACUCAGCGAUUCAGCUCUACAGUAUGCACUCUGGGAUCUCCCAUUUGCUAAGGAAGGAUCUUAGCUUUGAGAAAGGUGUCAAGCCUGUGGCAGCAGAGCUUCCUGGGGAGUCCUCAGAGCAAGUCAUUGCCAUUGUCGAAGUGUCUUCUAGGCUUUAUUUUGGGGCCAUUACCUCGAGCACUGUUUCUUGUCUGGUUUCCUAAUGUCAGCAACUGAAGAAAAGACCUGUAUACACAGGACACAGCAUGGUCUGACGCUCACAGUGUUUUCCUUUCUCUCUGCAGAGGGAUUCAGCACUUUGGGCAAGUGGUUGCACAGAGGAUCCCGUGGAAGAAUUCAUAUAUGAAUCAGAUGAGAAUGCCCCAGGACCAUCGUAGAUACCAACAAGCCCUCUCCCGGCACCUGCAGAAAAAGUGGGGAAAAUCCCCGAAGAGGCAGAAACAUUCAUCCGGAAGGGCCGCCAGCCAGUGGAUUUCCCGGGCCCCUCAGCCCUCUGGAGUGUACGAGUUUUGGAGAAACCUCUUCCUCUGUAUAUGCUUUUGACUUUCCUGGACUGAUGUAAAAAUACUCUUUUCUUUGACCUGUUUAUUUUUAAGACACGAUGUGAUUGUGUCAGCUUAUAUUUUAUUGCUGAAGUAAAUUUUCAAAUGUUUUAUUAGUUUUUUUUGGAUCUUUGUCCGCUCAUUUUGGAGUUUUUGUAAUUUUGAUAGGUGUUCUUUUAUGCUUUGUAUUGUUUUCUUAAUGACUUUUACCUUAGUUUUUAACAAACCCAUAGUACAGUGUUAUACCCAAGCGAGUCAGAGAAAACGCCACACUUUGAG